This 460-nucleotide ribosomal RNA is filed under the name uncultured bacterium. RNAcentral's name for it is "partial 16S ribosomal RNA". It matches the Rfam family "Bacterial small subunit ribosomal RNA", at positions 338 to 795 of the family's 1533-position model. The record is from RNAcentral.
CCUACGGGAGGCAGCAGUGAGGAAUAUUGGUCAAUGGGCGCGAGUCUGAACCAGCCAAGUAGCGUGAAGGAUGACUGCCCUACGGGUUGUAAACUUCUUUUAUAAAGGAAUAAAGUGAGGCACGUGUGCCUUUUUGUAUGUACUUUAUGAAUAAGGAUCGACUAACUCCGUGCCAGCAGCCGCGGUAAUACGGAGGAUCCGAGCGUUAUCCGGAUUUAUUGGGUUUAAAGGGAGCGUAGAUGGGUUGUUAAGUCAGUUGUGAAAGUUUGCGGCUCAACCGUAAAAUUGCAAUUGAUACUGGCAGUCUUGAGUGCAGAUGGGGUAGGCGGAAUUCGUGGUGUAGCGGUGAAAUGCUUAGAUAUCACGAAGAACUCCGAUUGCGAAGGCAGGUUACUAAGCUGCAACUGACAUUGAUGCUCGAAAGUGUGGGUAUCAAACAGGAUUAGAUACCCUUGUAGUC